This is a small nuclear RNA of Fundulus heteroclitus (mummichog), 188 nucleotides long. RefSeq annotates it as U2 spliceosomal RNA. NCBI's taxonomy places the organism in Eukaryota, Metazoa, Chordata, Actinopteri, Cyprinodontiformes, Fundulidae. The transcript has a single exon. The record is from RefSeq and is a predicted model, not a curated record.
AUCGCUUCUCGGCCUUUUGGCUAAGAUCAAGUGUAGUAUCUGUUCUUAUCAAUUUAAUAUCUGAUACGUCCCCUACCCGGGGACCAUAUAUUAAAUUGAUUUUUGGAACUGGGAGAUGGAAUAGGGGCUUGCUCCAUCCGCUCCAUGCAACCAGCCUGUGCCUCCCGCUAAGCGCAGCUGCUCCAUGC